RNAcentral lists this long non-coding RNA (206 nucleotides) under Elaeis guineensis (African oil palm). RNAcentral describes it as "long non-coding RNA (EGUI_LNC016804)". Lineage: Eukaryota; Viridiplantae; Streptophyta; Magnoliopsida; Arecales; Arecaceae. The record is from RNAcentral.
GACGGUGAUGGUGGAUCUUUAUCACUUAUAUUUGAGAGGGCCGAUCAGACAUUUGGAUAUUGGGUGGAUUUGGAGGAUGGGAGUACACCCAUGGAUGAGCCUCUUUCUUUGAAAGGUCAUCUGGGGUCGGCUUCUGACGAGAUCCAUCUUGAGGGGCUGAGUUAUGGAGAUCUAGCCAACUUGCCCAUGUUGUGGAUUGGAAGAUG